This 112-nucleotide transfer RNA is filed under the name Thermosphaera aggregans DSM 11486. It matches the Rfam family "tRNA". Rfam says of the family: Transfer RNA (tRNA) molecules are approximately 80 nucleotides in length. Their secondary structure includes four short double-helical elements and three loops (D, anti-codon, and T loops). The record is from Rfam by way of RNAcentral. Lineage: Archaea; Thermoproteati; Thermoproteota; Thermoprotei; Desulfurococcales; Desulfurococcaceae.
GCCGCCGUAGUAUAGCCCGGUCAAGUAUGCGGGCCUCUCGAGCCCGUGACACCCUGCUAGGUCCGUUGAGUAAGGGGUGCGGGAAACCCGGGUUCAAAUCCCGGCGGCGGCA